CCUACGUGAGGCAGCAGUAGGGAAUAUUGCUCCAUGGGGGAAACCCUGAAGCAGCAACGCCGCGUGGAGGAUGACGGUUUUCGGAUUGUAAACUCCUUUUGUUAGAGAAGAUAAUGACGGUAUCUAACGAAUAAGCACCGGCUAACUCCGUUCCAGCAGCCGCGUAAUACGGAGGGUACAAGCGUUACUCGGAAUCACUGGGCGUAAAGGGAGCGUAGGCGGGGUAGCAAGUCAGAUGUGAAAGCCUAGGGCUUAACCAUAGCACUGAAGUUGAAACUGUUAUUCUAGAGUAUGGGAGAGGUAGGUGGAAUUCUUGGUGUAGGGGUAGAAUCCUGAGAGAUCAAGAGGAAUACUCAUUGCGAAGGCGACCUGCUAGAACAUAACUGACGCUGAUGCGCGAAAGCGUGGGGAGCAAACAGGAUUAGAUACCCCAGUAGUC
This 439-nucleotide ribosomal RNA is filed under the name uncultured bacterium. RNAcentral describes it as "partial 16S ribosomal RNA". It matches the Rfam family "Bacterial small subunit ribosomal RNA", at positions 338 to 795 of the family's 1533-position model. The record is from RNAcentral.